Long non-coding RNA from Drosophila elegans, 1342 nucleotides. RefSeq lists it as uncharacterized. The record is from RefSeq and is a predicted model, not a curated record. Lineage: Eukaryota; Metazoa; Arthropoda; Insecta; Diptera; Drosophilidae. The transcript has 3 exons.
GACGAACAUCCCGUUAAACAGUUACGUUUGCAUUGCGACAAAUUUAUAGCCGCCUCUUGAUCGCCCUGAUAUUUGAUAGCAGCGGUAUGACUUUGCACACGACCAACUUCAAGACAUUCUAUUUCCAGUAUUCUCUGUAGUCACCUGACGGACUUACGGACAAGUCAACAGACGGAUCAAACCAUCAAACACACUUUUGCUCUCUUAAAAAAAGCUGAAGGAUCAAAUAAUACCUAAAGGAAAUGAUAAGGAAAUUAUCAUCUACGGCAAUAUCUUGCUCAACCCUUUUCCAGGUGGUGACAAUCAACGGGUCGUUGAGUGGUGAUUCCGGGGCCACUUAUCGAAUGGAUCUAUCAUAAUAAAAAUAAUUAAUUUUACUGAAUCGUGAGCAAUCGGCUAUCGACGUUCGGACAGGCUCGAGUGGCGCACGAUCGGCGACCGCGCAAAUAUUGGCCAAAUCAAUUGUCGGCGGAAAUGAGGCAAUCAAGUCAAAAGGUUUAUCUCGCUCUAGUGACUCGGUUCUCCGUUCUCGGUUCUGAAUUCUCCAUUCUCAGUGCGGCGACCAACUGACCAACAGACGUCACCUCCAUUUGCAUAUCAAAAUAACGUACAAGUCGCAGCUAUCAAUGGACGGGGACACGUUUGACAAAAAAGCCAAUAGAAAAUAAAAAAACCCACGAAACCAAGUUAGGGGGAAGUGUACCGAAUGCUGUUUGAUUACCGAGAAAACAUAGCCAUCUAGAUGUGUGGGCUCGGAUUAAGUGGAUACAUUCGUAUGUGUGCACUUGCAUGACUGCAAGUUCUUGGAAACUUCCACAAAAUAUAAGGAUUUAUAAAUUUGGUUUUCGUUGAAUAGCAAGCACUGAUAUCUAAGCUACUAAGUUUACUUAUUUGUAGUGCAAUUAUGCUCUUACAUCAUAAAUAACUUGGAAACUGUUGCACAACUUAUUUGCAAAGAAGGAGAGCGGAAUGAGCUUUUGAGCAUAUAAUCUAUAAAGGGUUCUCAGAAAUUAUUAUUUCAUCAUUUAGCUGCAAUUGGGAAGUCAGUGGAAUACUAAUGAAUUCUCAAUUUAAAAUUAGAAUAAACUUGUGCAACUCAGUUUAUAUAGACAAAGUAUUCAUAAUUUGAAAUCUUUCCAACCCAUACUUGUUUUAUUGGUAAGAAAGCAUAAACUAGUUCUUUUGAAUUAUAGAGUUAGAAACAAAAUGAAAAAUAAUGAAUUUAAACGAUUAUAUUUUUUAAACUUUAGACUGGAGCAUUAGUGUAACAAAAACGUUUGAAAAAUAGAGUACUUACAACUUAUUUAUUUGGUUUGUUAAUAAAAUACUUAUAAAAUACCUA